GUGGAAGUGACAGGAGCUCAGCAUCCCUGUA
This 31-nucleotide non-coding RNA is filed under the name Macaca fascicularis (crab-eating macaque). RNAcentral also lists the same sequence under 1 other name. The record is from RNAcentral. Lineage: Eukaryota; Metazoa; Chordata; Mammalia; Primates; Cercopithecidae.